UACGUAGGGGGCAAGCGUUAUCCGGAAUUACUGGGUGUAAAGGGGGCGCAGACGGCAGCGCAAGCCAGGAGUGAAAGCCCGGGGCCCAACCCCGGGACUGCUCUUGGAACUGCGCGGCUGGAGUGCAGGAGGGGCAGGCGGAAUUCCUGGUGUAGCGGUGAAAUGCGUAGAUAUAUGGAGGAACACCGGUGGCGAAAGCGGCUCUCUGGCCUGUAACUGACACUGAGGCUCGAAAGCGUGAGGAGCAAACAGG
This 253-nucleotide ribosomal RNA is filed under the name uncultured bacterium. RNAcentral's name for it is "partial 16S ribosomal RNA". It matches the Rfam family "Bacterial small subunit ribosomal RNA", at positions 524 to 776 of the family's 1533-position model. The record is from RNAcentral.